AUAAAAAAAUUUUUUUUUUUUUUUAAAAAAAGGAAAUUAUAAUGUGAUAAAUUUAGUGAAUAGCAACACGUCAUUCAUUCCUAUAGUGGUGUUGUUGCCACACCACCACCAUUGCCUUAUUCAAGUUCUCUUUUGUGGCUUAUGUUCUGCUCAUGUUUGUGGUUAAAAUCAUAAAUUUUGUAUCAUUUUGAUCAAUGGCUGUAAAAUUCUUAAUCUUGCAAUGCAUUAACUAUUCUAUUCUUUAAGCAUUUUUCCCCUGAUUUUGUUGUUGUGGAGGAAACUUCAUUAGUAAUAACUGCAAAUAAACGAGGGGGACAGGAACAAAAAACUUUACAUAUUUUUCUUCCUAGUUGAUGAUACUUCCUUUCUUUUACCAUUUUUUUUCUCAAUUUUUGCAUGUAUGCUUUAAAUAAUAAAUUUUCUCAAGAACAAUAUAUGUAAUAGGUUAUAGCUUUCAUUAGUGCAUACUCAAAAUCUCCUUAGCUUGUGGUUAUAGCUUUUGUACCCCCAUUCAUUCAAUAGGUUAAUGGUAAAAGGGGGUAAUUUGUGGUUGAAAUGGUAUUUCAUGAUAUUAACGAUGUGUAAUUGUUACUUCGUUAGUGAACUAACAGCCAACCAAUUGAUGAUCUAAAGCAUUAUUGGACUGUGAAGGAAUGGAAAUUGUAAUGCAUAGGGCAAAACUUGAAAGUGUUUAUUUCAAUUUAUACUUUUUAAAAUGUGGGUUAGUUUUGGGGAGGUUUUGAAGCUAGGGCAUUCUUUUAAUCAAUUUAACUAUUUAUGCUUCUUUUUGCACAAGCAUUCAAAGGUGACAAGGUUUCUCUAUGAGAACUUGAUUAUUCCUCUUUUGAUUGCUGUAUCCUUACUGUAUUAUUCUUCCUAUCAUUUUCUUUCUUGACAGAGUAAAACUUCAGCUGGGACGUCAUCUACCCAGCCGGCUGCUGCACCUACAAUUACACCAAGUUCAAACUCAACUCCUGCUGUUGAAGUUCAAGCACCGGCCCCAAAGAGCACAUCUGCUUCUGAAACAGCAACAGCUACUGCACCAGCUGAUACCUAUGGUCAAGCUGCUUCAAAUUUAGUUGCUGGUAAUAAUCUUGACCAGACUAUUCAACAGAUAAUGGAUAUGGGAGGUGGGAACUGGGAUAAAGAAACAGUUACUCGUGCACUUCGGGCAGCCUAUAACAAUCCAGAACGAGCAGUGGAUUACUUGUACUCUGGUAUUCCAGAAGCAGCAGAAGUUGCUGUCCCAGUUUCUCAUUUCCCUGCAGGUCAGGCAACUGAAACAGGUGCAGCAGGAGCUGCACCUGCAUCUGGAGCACCUAAUACAUCUCCCUUGAAUAUGUUCCCCCAGGAGACACUUUCUGCUGGUGGUGGUGGUGGUGGCGGUGGCAGCUGCGGCGGAGUUGAGAGGACGGUGAGUUUGAGGAUCGAUUCCACGGCUGUAGAGCUUUCUUUUGAUAUGGGUAUUCCAAUAGUUCUUGAUCUCAUUGUCUGUUCUUCCAGGUAAGCGAGCAGCAAUAAGAGACCAUUUGUUUCCAAGUAAGCUGUGAAGUUUGAUGAUGAGUUCAUCUUCUUCUUCUGUGAAGUUUCCCCUCUUGAGAUCAGGUCUCAGGUAGUUUAUCCACCUAAGCCUACAACUCUUGCCACAUCUAAGCAAGCCAGCUGCCUUGGGGAGAGACCUCCAACAACCUUCUCCAUGAAGUUUGAUGUAGUUGAUAAGACGCUCAUCUUCCUCUUUGGUCCAUGCACCUUUGUUG
RNAcentral lists this unclassified non-coding RNA (1757 nucleotides) under Hevea brasiliensis (rubber tree). The record is from RNAcentral. Lineage: Eukaryota; Viridiplantae; Streptophyta; Magnoliopsida; Malpighiales; Euphorbiaceae.